UGUUGUUGGUGGUGUGGUCGAAGGCAGCAAACAAGUGGGGCUGCUUCUGCGCGCGCGCGCGCGUUCCGGAAGUGAGGGGCGCGCGCACGCCGAUGACGAGCAGCGGCGCGUGCUCGCCAGCCGGGACGCAGGUGGCAACGAGGUGAAUUCGACGACCGGGAUUUGCUUCCUUUCCCGACUGCUUGAAGCAUGUGUUGACGUGAUUCAGGAAAAGAUACUUGUGGGUCCGCGGCGAGGAAAAGGAAGUGGAGUUAUCCCAAUAGCGCGGCGCGACGGCUCUCGCCAUCCAUGGCGAGCCUGGACCCCGUCAACCCUGCCCACGUGGCCUUUGACCGCUUCGUCCAAGCGCAGGACUGUGAGGGUGUUCAGCGGCACUUUGAUGAGCUCUGUCAGCAGCUGGAUAUCGAUCUGAAGGAUUUCCAGAGCUUCUGCAGCGAGCUGAAAGAGAGGCUCAACUACUGGCGGGCCAAAGCCUUGUGGACAAAGCUGGACAAGAGGGCCUCUCACCCGGACUACCAGCAAAGGAAAGCCUGCACCAAAAACAAGUGUCUGAUCCUGGGGGCCGGGCCGUGCGGGCUGAGGACAGCCAUUGAACUCUCCCUGCUGGGGGCUCGGGUGGUGGUGCUGGAGAAGCGAGAGACCUUCUCCAGGAACAAUGUCCUCCACCUGUGGCCCUUCACCAUUUGUGACCUUCGUGGCCUCGGCGCAAAGAAGUUCUACGGAAAAUUCUGCACCAGCUCGUUGGAUCACAUCAGCAUUCGUCAGCUGCAGCUAAUUCUUUUAAAGAUGUCGCUCCUCCUUGGGGUGGAGAUUCACACCGGAGUGGAGUUCCAGGGUCUGCUUGAGCCCUCAGGAGAGAAAGGUUGGACGGCUAAGGUGCUGCCCGAGACUCAUCCUGCUUCGGCCUACCAGUUUGAUGUUUUCAUCUCUGCCGGUGGAGGCAAGUUCGUCCCAGAGGGCUUCAAGCACAAGGAGCUGAGAGGCAAGCUAGCCAUCGGCAUCACGGCCAACUUCGUCAACAGGUGCACGGCGGCGGAAGCCCAAGUGGAAGAGAUCAGCGGUGUGGCCCGCAUCUACAACCAGAAGUUCUUCCAGGACCUUCUGACAGAGACCGGUAUUGAUUUGGAGAAUAUCGUAUAUUACAAAGACGACACCCACUACUUUGUCAUGACUGCCAAAAAGAUGAGCUUGCUGAAGAAGGGCGUCAUCAAACAGGACUUCAACGAAGCGGAGGAUUUGCUGGCAGCGGCCAACGUCGAUCAGGAGGCGCUGCUCCGCUACGCCCGUGACGCCGCCCACUUUUCCACGGGGGGCAAACUGCCUGAGCUGCAGUUUGCCCAGAACCACGCCCGCCAGCCGGACGUCGCCGUCUUCGACUUCACCUGCAUGCAACGAGCCGAGAACGCCUCGCUAGUCAGGGAGCGGAGAGGGAAGAAGCUUUUGACGGCGCUCGUUGGCGAUUGCCUGGUGGAGCCAUUCUGGCCUCUGGGGACGGGAAUCGCUCGUGGAUUCCUGGCAGCUUUGGACACAGCGUGGAUGGUGAGGAGCUGGGGCCUGGGGGUGCCUCCCCUCAAGCUCCUGGCUGAGCGAGAAAGCAUCUACCAGGUCCUGUCGCAGACCACCCCAGAGAACACCGGCAAAAACUACGCCGCCUACAGCAUCGACCCCAAGACACGCUACCUGAGGGUCAACCUGGCCUCCAUCCAGAGCAGCCAGGUGCAGCACCUUUACAUCGUUGAUAAGUCAAAUCCGUCAAGCAAGAAACAGAAUAACAGACGGUCUUAUGCACGUCAAGAUUCCGGUGGUUCUGAGGAGUUGUUGAAAUGGUGCCAGAAACAUACAGCGGGUUACGACAAUGUGGAUGUGAAAGAUUUCACCAAUUCCUGGAGGUCCGGGCUGGCUCUCUGCGCUUUGAUCCACCGCUUCAGACCUCGGCUCAUUGACAUGAGCUCCUUGAAUGCGUCGGCUUGCGUCCGCAAUCAGCAAUUGGCCAUCAGCGUCUUGGAGAAGGAGCUGGGCAUCCCGCCUGUCAUGUCUGCCGCUGACUUUGCCAACGGGGGGCAGAUAGACAGACUGUCCAUGGUCCUCUACCUCACGCAGAUAAAAAACACCUUCACUGUGCUGACGCAAGCAACUUCAUCCAGCUCUUCCGGGGGGAUCCUGAGGCGCUCCUAGGCCAGCCGAAAGAUGUAGUCUCUCCAGCGUGUCCUGGGUCGUCCCCGGGAUCUCCUCCCGGUGGGACGUGCCCGGAACACCUCACCAUGAGGUGUCCGGGAGGCAUCCGAAACAGUUGCGACAUCGGACCGGCAUCUUCCCCCACCAUCGGAGCCAACUCACCAGCGGGUGGUGAUCAGGUGACCGCUCCGCCCAUCUCUUCACCAGAGUGUCCAAGACAUGCGGCCGCAAGUCCGAUGACACGACCACAAAGUCGAUCAUCGAACUUUGACCUAGGGUGUCCUGGUGCCAAGUUCACGUGUGGACACCCUUAUGCUUGAACAUGGACAAUCCGUGAUGAGCACAGAAGUCCAAUAACAGAACACCGCUCGGGUUCUGAUCGGGGGGGCCGUUCCUCCCAAUCACGCCCUUCCAGGUCUCACUGUCAUUGCCCACGUGAGCAUUGAAGUCCCCCAGCAGAACGAUGGAGUCCCCAACGGGAGCGCUCUCCAGCACCCCCUCCAAGGACUCCAAAAAGGGUGGGUACUCUGAACUGCUGUUUGGUGAAUACGCACAAACAACAGUCAGCACCCGUCCCCCCACCCGAAGGCGGAGGGAGGCUACCCUCUCGUCCACCGGGGUGAACCCCAAUGUACAGGCGCCAAGCCGGGGGGCAAUAAGUAUACCCACACCUGCUCAGCGCCUCUAACCGUGGGCAACUCUAUAGUGGAAGAGAGUCCAACCCCUCUUGAGAGGACAGGUACCAGAGCCCAAGCUGUUUGUGGAGGCGAGCACGACUAUACCUAGUCGUAACAUUUCAACCUCACACUCCAGCUCGGGCUCCUUCCCUGCCAGAGAGGUGACAUUCCACGUCCCAAGAGCCAGCUUCUGUAGCCGGGGAUCAGAUCGCCAAGGUCCCCGCCUUCGGCCAGCGCCCAGCUCGCACUGCACCCGACCCCUAUGGCCCCUCCCACAGGUAGUGAGUGAGCCCAUGGGAAGGGGGACCCACGUUACCCUUUCGGGCUGUGCCCGGCCGGGCCCCACGGCUGCAGGCUCAGCCACCAGGCGCUCGCCGUCAAGCCCCACCUUCAGGCCUGGCUCCAGAGGGGGGCCGUUCUGUCUCGCUGGCCUAAAACCUGGACAUGUAUUUUUAGCGUGAGUGAAAGCUUAUCUGCAUUUUGAUUGGCUAAAUGAUGCGCAGUUGGCGGGAACUACUUUUUCAGUGUGUGAUGCAUAAGUCAGUCACUCAGUCUUAGUCUGGAGACACAAUGGCAGAGCGGAAAGCAGGGCUGUCAAAAUCAUUUUUUUGUCACGGGCCACAUUGUCGUGACGGCCGUUAUGACAGAGAAAUGUCAUAUUAAUACGGAACAACAAAUUGAUGGAUAACUAGUUUUUUUUAAAUCAGAAAUCAAGGCUAAUUGGCCAAGUUGCAAUAAAAAUGGGUUUGGUAAAAACUAUUUAUAUUUCAUGUUCAAACUGAUCAACUUGAUUGUUUUUAGCAAAUAACCAUUAACUUUGAAUUUAAUUUUUUUAACACGUUCCAAAAAAGUUGGGACAGGUGGCAAAACAAACUGAGAAAGUUGAGGAAUGCUCAUCAAACACCUGUUUGGGGCAUCCCACAGGUGAACAGGCUCAUUGGGAACAGGUGGGGGCCAUGGUUGGGUAGAAAAGGAGCUUCCCUCAAUUGCUCAGUCAUUCACAAGCAAAGAUGGGGCGAGGUUCACCUCUUGUGAGAAAAUAGUCCAACAGUUUAAGGACAAUGUUCCUCAACGUACAAUUGCAAGGAAUUUAGGGAUUUCAUCAUCUACGGUCCAUAAUAUCAUCAAAAGGUUCAGAGAAUCUGGAGAAAUCACUGCAUGGAAGCGGCAAGGCCGAAAACCAACAUUGCGUGCCCGUGACCUUCGAUCCCUCAGGCGGCACUGCAUCAAAAACCGAUAUCAAUGUGUAAAGGAUAUCACCACAUGGGCUCAGGCGCUACAUCCGUAAGUGCAACUUGAAACUCUACUAUGCAAAGCAAAAGCUAUUUAUCAAGAACACCCAGAAACGCCGCCGGCUUCUCUGGGCCCGAGCGCAUCUAAGAUGGACCGACGCAAAGUGGAAAAGUGUUCUGUAGCCCGACGAGUCCGCAGUUCAAAUUUUUUGGGGAAAUUGUGGACGUCGUGUCCUCCGGGCCAAAGAAGCCAGCAUCUGUGAUGGUAUGGGGCUUUGUUAGUGCCCAUGGCAUGGGUAACUUACACAUCUGUGAAGGCACCAUUCAUGCUGAAAGGUACAUACAGGUUUUGGAGAAACAUAUGCUGCCAUCCAAGCAAUGUCUUUUUCAUGGACGCCCCAUCUUAUUUCAGCAAGACAAUGCCAAACCACAUUCUGCACGUGUUACAACAGCGUGGCUUUGUAGUAAAAGAGUGCGGGUACUAGACUGGCCUGCCUGCAGUCUAGACCUCGUCUCCCAUCGAAAAUGUGUGGCGCAUUAUGAAGCGUAUAAUACGACAACGGAGACCCCGGACUGUUGAACAGCUGAAGCUGUACAUCGAGCAAGAAUGGGAAAGAAUUCCACGUACAAAGCUUCAAUAAUUAGUGUCCUCAGUUCCCAAAUGUUGUUCAAAGAAAAGGUGAUGUAACACAGUGGUAAACGUGACCCUGUCCAAGUUUUCUUGGAACGUGUUGCGGCCAUAAAAUUUUUAAUUCAUGAUUUGCUAAAAACAAUAAAGUGUAUCAGUUUGAACAUUAAGUAUCUUGUCUUUGUAGUGUAUUCAAUUCAAUAUAGGUUGAACAUGAUUUGCAAAUGAUUUUAUUCUGUUUUUAUUUGUUUAACACAACGUCCCAACUUCAUUGGAAUUGGGGUUGUAUUUACAAUCAACUUAAUUUGCUUUGACUGUUGAAUUAUUAUACUAAAGGUAGGUAGUAAGUGCCCCAAGAUGUAAAUCCUUGUUUGGACUGUCAAUACAUUCGAUAUGAUUGAAGAGAAGUGCUGAAAAGGUGCAAAGACUGCGACCAAUCUCGGCUCACUGCCACUCAUCCUCCGGUCAGGCGCUGAAACGCGCAUCGAAGGGACGCUGUCUCUUUAAGAGGCGAUUACCCAUAAUUCCUUGAGCUCAAGCGCUGUGUUCAGCUGCGGCUGCCGCCAGCGUUCCUCCGUGCUGCUCCGCAGCCCGAGGAUUAAUUUUGGCAGCGCGACGGGCGUCGUCACUGUGAAUGGUUCCAGCCGCGGCUGAGGCCAGAUGGGCGCGCCGCGCGCCCUCCCUCCGCGGACGCCGGGCGGCCGUCGUUCGCCGGUAACCUCGCGUGAGUUUUUGUGCGAAGGGGUCCGCUGGGAGGCCUUUUGUGAGAAGAGCAUGAAUCGCCGUCGGAAGAUUUCACACAGUCCUCAGCUCCAGAGCCCAAAGGCUUCCUGACUUCGUCCCAGCCUCUUCCUCUCUCGCGGACGCGCUCGGCGAUCUUCUUCCUCAGCACGCUCAAGCGCAACUCUCUGCAAAGACGCAAGG
This is an RNA transcript of Phycodurus eques (leafy seadragon), 5636 nucleotides long. It is a transcript of the gene named microtubule associated monooxygenase, calponin and LIM domain containing 1, with no coding region annotated. The record is from RefSeq and is a predicted model, not a curated record. The transcript has 16 exons. Lineage: Eukaryota; Metazoa; Chordata; Actinopteri; Syngnathiformes; Syngnathidae.